RNAcentral lists this ribosomal RNA (253 nucleotides) under uncultured bacterium. RNAcentral's name for it is "partial 16S ribosomal RNA". It matches the Rfam family "Bacterial small subunit ribosomal RNA", at positions 524 to 776 of the family's 1533-position model. The record is from RNAcentral.
UACGUAGGUGGCAAGCGUUGUUCGGAAUUACUGGGCGUAAAGGGCUCGUAGGCGGCCAACUAAGUCAAACGUGAAAUCCCUCGGCUUAACCGGGGAACUGCGCUUGAUACUGGAUGGCUUGAGAUUGGGAGAGGGAUGCGGAAUUCCAGGUGUAGCGGUGAAAUGCGUAGAUAUCUGGAGGAACACCGGUGGCGAAGGCGGCAUCCUGGACCAACACUGACGCUGAGGAGCGAAAGCCAGGGGAGCAAACGGG